This 400-nucleotide ribosomal RNA is filed under the name uncultured bacterium. RNAcentral's name for it is "bacterial SSU rRNA". It matches the Rfam family "Bacterial small subunit ribosomal RNA", at positions 356 to 773 of the family's 1533-position model. The record is from RNAcentral.
GGGGAAUAUUGCACAAUGUGCGAAAGCCUGAUGCAGCAACGCCGCGUGAGUGAUGAAGGCCUUCGGGUCGUAAAGCUCUUUGAUCAGGGAUGAUAAUGACAGUACCUGAAAAACAAGCCACGGCUAACUACGUGCCAGCAGCCGCGGUAAUACGUAGGUGGCGAGCGUUGUCCGGAAUUAUUGGGCGUAAAGGAUGCGUAGGUGGAUAUUUAAGUGGGAUGUGAAAUCCCCGGGCUCAACCCGGGAACUGCAUUCCAUACUGGAUGUCUAGAGUGCAGGAGAGGAAAGUGGAAUUCCUAGUGUAGCGGUGAAAUGCGUAGAUAUUAGGAGGAACACCAGUGGCGAAGGCGACUUUCUGGACUGUAACUGACACUGAGGUAUGAAAGCGUGGGUAGCAAAC